CUGCAGUGGUACAAGUUCCCAAUGAGUGCAGUUGUUCUACUUGGUAGUUAACCUUGGUUUUAUUUGAAUGCUAGAAGUUCAAGUUGACUUAGUAUGAACAUGUAAUAGUAUGAAUGGACUAGUUUCCCUGGAAAGAAUACUGAAUUUGUGUUCUAUAGUACAAAAGUUAUGAGACACGAAUCAGAAAAAUGUUCACUACAAC
Molecule: long non-coding RNA, 202 nt
Filed under: Mytilus galloprovincialis (Mediterranean mussel)
Lineage: Eukaryota; Metazoa; Mollusca; Bivalvia; Mytilida; Mytilidae
Source: RNAcentral